Molecule: ribosomal RNA, 425 nt
Filed under: bacterium
Lineage: Bacteria
Description: partial 16S ribosomal RNA
Rfam family: Bacterial small subunit ribosomal RNA
Source: RNAcentral
UGGGGAAUAUUGCACAAUGGGCGCAAGCCUGAUGCAGCGACGCCGCGUGAGGGAUGGAGGCCUUCGGGUUGUAAACCUCUUUCGCCAGUGAAGCAGGCCAUCUUCUUUGUGGGGUGGUUGACGGUAGCUGGGUAAGAAGCGCCGGCUAACUACGUGCCAGCAGCCGCGGUAAUACGUAGGGCGCGAGCGUUGUCCGGAAUUAUUGGGCGUAAAGAGCUCGUAGGCGGCUGGUCGCGUCUGUCGUGAAAUCCCCUGGCUUAACUGGGGGCUUGCGGUGGGUACGGGCCGGCUUGAGUGCGGUAGGGGAGACUGGAAUUCCUGGUGUAGCGGUGGAAUGCGCAGAUAUCAGGAGGAACACCGGUGGCGAAGGCGGGUCUCUGGGCCGUUACUGACGCUGAGGAGCGAAAGCGUGGGGAGCGAACAGG